CAGUAGCCACGGUAAGACGAACCGUGCGAACGUUAUUCGGAAUCACUGGGCUUAAAGCGCGUGUAGGCGGGAGGGCACGUCCGUCGCUGAAAUCCCCCGGCUCAACCGGGGAACGGGCGCGGAUACGACUCUUCUGGAGGAACGUAGGGGGACCUGGAACUUCCGGUGUAGCGGUGAAAUGCGUAGAUAUCGGAAGGAACACCAGUGGCGAAGGCGGCUACCUGGACUGAGACUGACACUGAGGCGCGAGAGCGUGGGGAGCAAACAGGAUUAGAUACCCCCGUAGUCCCUGUCUCUUAUA
RNAcentral lists this ribosomal RNA (301 nucleotides) under uncultured bacterium. RNAcentral describes it as "partial 16S ribosomal RNA". It matches the Rfam family "Bacterial small subunit ribosomal RNA", at positions 509 to 808 of the family's 1533-position model. The record is from RNAcentral.